GACGAACGCUGGCGGCGUGCUUAACACAUGCAAGUCGAGCGGUAAGGCCCUCGGGUACGACGAGCGGCGAACGGGUGAGUAACACGUGGGUGACCUGCCCUUAGCUCUGGGAUAAGCCUGGGAAACGUGGGUCUAAUACCGGAUAUGACCUCAUGACGCAUGUUGUGGGGUGGAAAGCCUUGUGCGGCUAGGGAUGGGCCCGCGGCCUAUCAGCUUGUUGGUGGGGUGAUGGCCUACCAAGGCGACGACGGGUAGCCGGCCUGAGAGGGCGACCGGCCACACUGGGACUGAGACACGGCCCAGACUCCUACGGGAGGCAGCAGUGGGGAAUCUUGCGCAAUGGGCGAAAGCCUGACGCAGCGACGCCGCGUGAGGGAUGACGGCCU
Molecule: ribosomal RNA, 386 nt
Filed under: uncultured bacterium
Lineage: Bacteria
Description: bacterial SSU rRNA
Rfam family: Bacterial small subunit ribosomal RNA
Source: RNAcentral